This 421-nucleotide ribosomal RNA is filed under the name uncultured bacterium. Its description in RNAcentral is "bacterial SSU rRNA". It matches the Rfam family "Bacterial small subunit ribosomal RNA", at positions 355 to 773 of the family's 1533-position model. The record is from RNAcentral.
UGAGGAAUAUUGGGCAAUGCCCGCAAGGGUGACCCAGCAACGCCGCGUGGAGGAUGAAUGUCGUAAGAUUGUAAACUCCUGUUAGAGGGGAAGAAUAGUACCGGUUGGACCGGUAUAUGACUGUACCCUCAGAGAAAGCCCCGGUUAACUACGUGCCAGCAGCCGCGGUAAUACGUAGGUGGCAAGCGUUGUCCGGAUUUACUGGGUGUAAAGGGCGCGCAGGCGGGAUAAAAAGUCAGUGGUGAAAUCCUACAGCUUAACUGUAGAACUGCCUUUGAUACUUUUAUUCUUGAGUUCGGGAGAGAGAGACGGAAUUCCAGGUGUAGUGGUGAAAUACGUAGAUAUCUGGAAGAACACCAGUUGCGAAGGCGGUCUCUUGGUCCGACACUGACGCUGAGGCGCGAAAGCGUGGGGAGCAAAC